RNAcentral lists this long non-coding RNA (4015 nucleotides) under Nicotiana benthamiana. RNAcentral's name for it is "long non-coding RNA (NBEN_LNC032987)". The record is from RNAcentral. Lineage: Eukaryota; Viridiplantae; Streptophyta; Magnoliopsida; Solanales; Solanaceae.
AACAACACACUAAAAAAAACCUAGAGCCUCCAUCUUCCUAAACACCAAGCAUCAGCCGCCAACCAUUCCAGCCGAUGUCCGCCAGCUUGAACCAAACGAACCAACGUCGAACUACCCAAGCAGCGAACCAAACCUUUCCGUCGCUGCCUCGUCGUCCAGCACGACCAAACGACCUGCUGUGUCGUCCAUAACCUUCCCCACGCCGGACAGACCACUCGAACCAGCCGCCCAAACCUCCACCCUAAGGACCAAACCCACCGAACAAUCGUCACUCUACACCAGCGACCCCCCAUCUCAUAACCCCUCUGUCGCCGACCUCCUCUUCUCAAAAGCCAACACAGAAGCUCUUCAUCACACAGCCGCACCAACCCUUCUUCACCUUUCACCGGCGAACACUUUCAAUGGACCCACGACCACCGGUAACCCCCACCUCUCUUCUUAUCUCCAUCUGAACCCGCCGUUCCCAACCAGUCCCUCACCAAUCACAUACAAGCACAUUAUCGAAAAUAGAGGUAGGGAACGAUUCAAGUUUUAUUUUCAUUUUUAAAAUCAGAAAAACAAAAAAGAGAAUUAUGCUUCUUCAUUUAUUUUCUUCGAAUUUUGGUUUUGAAUAUGGAAUUUGAUUGAGCCGUGGUUGUUUCGAGUUUACUGUUGUUGAUUGCCGCUCGAGAGUUCUAGUCCAGAUUUGCUAUUCUCAUCCGAAAAUUUGGUUGAGAUUCAUUGGUCGCUCAAUUUUGCUCUGCUAUGUUGCUAUAACUGUUCGAGUUUCUAUAUUUAAAAAGCAGUUUCAGGUUCAUCUCUCUUUCCCGUCCCUAAAUUUUUAGUUUGAUCUCUAUGGUGACUCUUGCUUAUUUGUUGCUUUGAUUUGGUGUUCUACAACUUGUGUGGAGUUUGUAUUAUACAUGACUUGAUCUCUAUGGUGACUCUUGCUUAUUUGUUGCUUUGAUUUGGUGUUCUACAACUUGUGUGGAGUUUGUAUUGAAUAUUAAGAGUUAACUUUCUAAGAAAAUGACGUUUAUUAUUCUAAUUCACCUUACGCUUCUGCUAUGGCGAUAUGGAUAUAUUCUUUUUCAUAGGAAUUUGACUUGAGAGUACUGUCCUUUGCUAAAUAUUUCAUAUGUUCUAGGAGUUGGAUUUGGUGCAAAUGAAUGAAAUCAAGAUCUAAAUGAAAACGAGUAUGAACUAACCUUAGUUUGCUUGGCUUUACCGUAUUUCUAAUUUUUUCUUGAAUUUAUCUAUUGGAGAAUGCCUGCUUAGGCUGACCACACAUGGGUAGAAAAACUUUAGGAUUUUUGUUAAUUUGAGACGAGAGGUCGUUUUCGUAGUUAAAUUUAUCCGGGGAAUGCCUCGUGAAGUUUGUAUAUAUUAUUAUCCGAGGUAUGCCCGAAGUACGUUGUAAAUAUUUUGGAGGUCGUGGCGCGUUUGUGAAGGAAGCAUAGUGUAGUAUUUUACUCUUAUUUUUCUUUUAUUAGGUGGGGACGACCUCGAGCCCUUUUGUAUGUUUAUUUUUCUGUGUUUGUUUUACCUCAAUCGAAUAUUCUAAAAGCCAACUAGACCGAGUACCCAACCGUGACUUUCACAGGACUUGGGGAGUGCCUAACAGCUUCUCUCCGAGUCAAAUGAACCCCUUUACCUGAAUCUCUAGAGUAGACUUAAUUUUUAGAGUCUCAAGUGUUUUAAAAGGAAAGUUAUUUCUAAAAAUCGGUGGCCUAGCACACCGAAAUCAAAUUCCACGUGGCGACUCUGAGUUAAUCAGUUUGAAACACAAUUUUUUGUCACUUUUCAAUUGAAAAAAAACUUCCAAGCUUUACUAAAUUUUUUGAUUAAUUUAAAAGGGUUAAGUAUAGUUUGUUUUUAAAAAAAAAGUGUGUGACAAAUUUUUUUACAUUAAUCGCAUAUAAAACAGCAAUAACAAUAGCAUACCCAGUGUCUUUUCACGUGUAGGUUUGAGAGGAUAGUAUGUAUACAGAUCAUAUCCCGGCCGUAUGGAGGUAGAGAGCAUAUUUUUAAAAGACCUUCAGCUUAAGCAAGCACAGUCAGGAGUAAAGCAAAUUUAAAUAUAAAAAUAGUAGAGAGUCAUAGGAAAAGAAAUAGUAGCAACAACAAAAUACUAACUGACCGAAGCAUUAGCAACAUCAGAUAAUACUAAAAAUCGAAGGAAAAGACAAAACAAGAGUAAUACAUCAGCUAUCGAAAAGGAAGGAAAGUAUGCUCUACUGUUGUUGCUGCUGCUAACCUUCUACUAUUCUACUACUACUACUAACCUUCUACUAUUCUACUACUACUACUACUAACCUUCUACUACUACUAACCUUCUACUAAUACUAACCUUCUACUACUACUACUACUACUAACCUUCUACUACUACUAUCCUUCUACUACUACUACUAACCUUCUACUAAUACUAACCUUCUACUACUACUACUACUAACCUUCUACUACUACUAACCUUCUACUACUACUAUUAACCUUCUACUAAUACUAACCUUCUACUACUAUUACUACUACUAACCUUCUACUACUACUAAUUUUCGACCUUCACAACCUCCUCAAGAAUAAUGUCCUUAGUUAAUCGAUGAUGCAUAAUAUCCUGCAUAAUCUCCUCUCUCUAAUUCUUCGUUGGCCUUCUUCUACCUCUUGUCAGACUCAUGAUAUUCAACCUCUCACACCUCCUCACGGGGGGAGGGGUGCCUGGCCAUCUCCUUUCAUUUUUUGCAUGUUCGAGCUAUCUCAGCCUCACUUACGGCAUUUUAUCCUCCACAAGAGUCACACACACCUUGUCCUAAAUAACUUCAUUACCGACUUAUGUCUCCUAGUAAACCGAUACAUCCAUCUUAGCAUCCUCAUGUCCACUACUUUCAACUUUUAGAUAUAAAAGUUAUUGAAUGGCCAACGCUCCAUCUUAUAUGCAGCAUGGUCGGUCUAAUCACCAUUCCAUAGAAAUUAUCUUUUUAAGUGUUUUGUGGCAAUUAUUUCUAAGGAAAAAAAGAGGAGAAUGGAGUAUGAAAAUCUUAAUUGAACUUCUUCUAAAAAUCCAUUAUUCGAUGAUUUUAAAAAAGAAUAAGUAUACAAAUACGUGUAAUGGUUUUAUUUCCACAAAUUUGGAGUGACAAAUUGGUGGGCCACUUGAUUUAUAAAAAGUGACAAUGAUGAAAGAUAUUGUUUAGAUACUUUCAAAUCAAGAUGCCACACGUUUCCUACAACUUUGGUUGUUUCAAUCCUCGCCAUAGUUCGUUGAUAGUGAUGGGUUUUGUAUAAUAUCCAUCUCCUUCUCACGUAGAAAUACAGACUAUUAUUGAUCUCUAUUUCCCUUAUUAGUAUCAUGCUCACGUCUAACUCAUUCUCAAAUAGAAACCUCCCCCAAAAGGCAUAAUAAAAUUCAACACUAAUGAUGCAGCCAAAAGCAAAGUUGAAGUUGGUGGAACAGAAGGCAUCUUGAGGAAUCACAAUGUGAAUGGAUGCUAGGUUAUAUGGAAAACAUUUCACACACAUCGGCCAUUGAAGCUGAAAUACGAGCCCUUCGACAAGGCCUCAUGUUGGCAGAACAAAACAAUCUUCUACCUUUGCAUAUAGAUACAGACUCUUCAGAAUUAAUUUCCAUGCUAAUAGAAGGUAACGUUAUAUUUGACCUUCUAAUUUGUGAAUGCAGGUGGUUGAUUCAAAGGCUGAGCAGCGUGGUGGCGAAACAGACGUUCAGGGAGCAAAAUAGAUUGGUUGACGCAUUGGCAAAGGAAGCAGUGGAACAUAGUUUUUGGAACAGUCUUGUUAUUUUGUUAGUUCCACCGAUGUUUGUUAAUAACACUUUUUGGGAAAACAUCGUGGGAACUGACUGCCUAGAUCUUUCGGGAUGUAAUAUGGAUACUAUAAUGCAAAACAUUGCAUCACUCGGUACCCUGCGGUACCCAACUAACUCUGUUGUAACAGUACCAUCUUAGUAUUUAAUAUAUGCUUCUUUAAACCAAAAAAAAAAAAAGCAUAGAAAAAACCAACGCCAUUAUGACAUCACUUAAUUAAG